AUGAACGCUGGCGGCGUGCCUAAUACAUGCAAGUCGAGCGAACAGACGAGGAGCUUGCUCCUCUGACGUUAGCGGCGGACGGGUGAGUAACACGUGGAUAACCUACCUAUAAGACUGGGAUAACUUCGGGAAACCGGAGCUAAUACCGGAUAAUAUAUUGAACCGCAUGGUUCAAUAGUUAAAGAAGGUUUUGCUGUCACUUAUAGAUGGAUCCGCGCCGCAUUAGCUAGUUGGUAAGGUAACGGCUUACCAAGGCGACGAUGCGUAGCCGACCUGAGAGGGUGAUCGGCCACACUGGAACUGAGACACGGUCCAGACUCCUACGGGAGGCAGCAGUAGGGAAUCUUCCGCAAUGGGCGAAAGCCUGACGGAGCAACGCCGCGUGAGUGAUGAAGGUCUUCGGAUCGUAAAACUCUGUUAUUAGGGAAGAACAAAUGUGUAAGUAACUAUGCACGUCUUGACGGUACCUAAUCAGAAAGCCACGGCUAACUACGUG
Molecule: ribosomal RNA, 496 nt
Filed under: uncultured bacterium
Lineage: Bacteria
Description: partial 16S ribosomal RNA
Rfam family: Bacterial small subunit ribosomal RNA
Source: RNAcentral